AUUGGUGAAUCUCAAGAAUCUGUCCAGACCUACAUCAGAUCAUAUCCCACUAUUAUUGCAAAUUGAAUCGGGUAAGUCCUCUGUUAACAAACCUUUCUGAUUCAAAAUUCUUGGUUCUCAAUUCUAGGUUGUCAGGAAAAGAUCCGAUCAUGGUGGGAAAAUGGGCCAAAUUCUGAAGAUGCUAUUGCAGAGAUAGCUCUAAAACUCUGCCCAUUACUCUUUAAACUAAAAACCUGGAAUCGAGAGAAAGUAGAAAAUAUUAUUCAGAGAAAGGGAAUACUCAAAAAGGAUAGACCAACUUGACUUUCAAGAAGAAACAGAAAAAAUGCUAGCAACUGAGAUAGAAGAAUGAACUCAACUAAAAAUUGAACUGGUUAAGGUGCUACAACAGGAAGAAACGUUGUGGUGGAAAAGAGCAAGAGUAUAAUGGCUCUAAAAUGGUGAUCAAAACAC
This 453-nucleotide long non-coding RNA is filed under the name Elaeis guineensis (African oil palm). RNAcentral's name for it is "long non-coding RNA (EGUI_LNC020546)". The record is from RNAcentral. Lineage: Eukaryota; Viridiplantae; Streptophyta; Magnoliopsida; Arecales; Arecaceae.